This 76-nucleotide transfer RNA is filed under the name Actinomycetota bacterium. Its description in RNAcentral is "tRNA-Arg". It matches the Rfam family "tRNA". From Rfam's summary of the family: Transfer RNA (tRNA) molecules are approximately 80 nucleotides in length. Their secondary structure includes four short double-helical elements and three loops (D, anti-codon, and T loops). Lineage: Bacteria; Bacillati; Actinomycetota. The record is from RNAcentral. RNAcentral also lists the same sequence under 1 other name.
GCGCCCGUAGCUCAGUUGGAUAGAGCGCCGGCCUCCGGAGCCGGAUGCGGGGGUUCAAGUCCCUCCGGGCGUACCA